GACAGAGGGUGCAAACGUUGUUCGGAAUUACUGGGCGUAAAGCGCGUGUAGGCGGCCGAGUAAGUCGGGUGUGAAAGCCCAGGGCUCAACCUUGGAAGUGACACUCGAAACUGACACGGCUGAGUCUCGGAGAGGGAAGUGGAAUUCUGGGUGUAGAGGUGAAAUUCGUAGAUAUCCAGAGGAACACCAGUGGCGAAGGCGACUUCCUGGACGAGUACUGACGCUGAGACGCGAAAGCGUGGGGAGCAAACAGAAUA
This 257-nucleotide ribosomal RNA is filed under the name uncultured bacterium. Its description in RNAcentral is "partial 16S ribosomal RNA". It matches the Rfam family "Bacterial small subunit ribosomal RNA", at positions 524 to 779 of the family's 1533-position model. The record is from RNAcentral.